UCCGAGUUUCUUUUCAAAAAA
RNAcentral lists this non-coding RNA (21 nucleotides) under Caenorhabditis elegans. Lineage: Eukaryota; Metazoa; Nematoda; Chromadorea; Rhabditida; Rhabditidae. The record is from RNAcentral.